RNAcentral lists this ribosomal RNA (404 nucleotides) under uncultured bacterium. RNAcentral's name for it is "partial 16S ribosomal RNA". It matches the Rfam family "Bacterial small subunit ribosomal RNA", at positions 29 to 526 of the family's 1533-position model. The record is from RNAcentral.
AUUGAACGCUGGCGGCAGGCCUAACACAUGCAAGUCGAGCGAGCGGCGGGGGGGGGAGAGAUGCCUGGGAGUUGCCCAGGCGAGGGGGAUAAAAGGGGGAAAAGACCGCUAAUCCCCCAUCAGAUCGGAGUGCGCAGGUGGGAUUAGCUAGUUGGUGGGGUAAUGGCUCACCAAGGCGAAGAUCCCUAGCUGGUCUGAGAGGAUGAUCAGCCACACUGGAACUGAGACACGGUCCAGACUCCUACGGGAGGCAGCAGUGGGGAAUAUUGCACAAUGGGGGAAACCCUGAUGCAGCCAUGCCGCGUGUGUGAAGAAGGCCUUCGGGUUGUAAAGCACUUUCAGCGAGGAGGCGUUACUCGCAGAAGAAGCACCGGCUAACUCCGUGCCAGCAGCCGCGGUAAUAC